RNAcentral lists this long non-coding RNA (1293 nucleotides) under Homo sapiens (human). RNAcentral's name for it is "HSALNT0231696". The record is from RNAcentral. Lineage: Eukaryota; Metazoa; Chordata; Mammalia; Primates; Hominidae.
CUCAAGGUAUUAGUCCAAAAGGAGGAAUGCUUCCUUGGGAGACACAAUGAUUCCAUCAAACUGGAAGUUAUGACUCCCACCAGGCCACAUUGAGUCCUUAGACUUCUGGAUCAACAGGCAAAGAGGCCAGCACUGUGGCUCACACCUGUAAUCCCAGAACUUUGGGAGGCCGAGGCAGGUGGAUCACUUGAGGUCAGGAGCUUGAGACCAGCCUGACCAACAUGGAGAAACCCCAUCUCUACUAAAAAUACAAAAUUAGCCGGGCAUGGUGGUGCAUGCCUGUAAUCCCAGCUACUCAGGAGGCAAGUCAGGAGAAUUGCUUGAACACAAGAGGCGGAGGUUGUGGUGAGCUGAGAUCGUGCCAUUGCACUCCAGCCUAGGGAACAAAAGCGAAACUCCGUCUCAAAAAAAAAAAAAGAAAAGAAAAGAAAAGAAAAGAAACAACAACAACAACAACAAAACAGGCAAAGAAAGGAGUCACUAUUCUGGCUAGGGUGAUUGUGGCUACUUCUUGGUAAUCACAAUCUCUGCAAUCAAGGUAAGGAGGAGGAUGUCUGGAAUACAAGAGAUCCCUUAGGGUGUCUCUUAUUACUACCAUGUCCUGUGAUUGAAGCCAAUGGAAAACUUUAACAACCCAACUGGGACAGGAAUGCAUGGCCCAGACCCUUCCAGAAUGAAGGUUUAGGUCACCCCACCAAGUAAAGAACCACCAUUGGCUGAGGUGUUUACUGAAAGCAAAUGGAAUAAUAGGUCAUAAAAGAAGAAAGUUAUAAAUAGCAGCUAUGACCAUGUGACCAGUUACAGGGAGUUUGGGAAACCGGAUGUCAGAUUCCAGCCACUGGGGAGUUGGAUUUCACCCUCUGUAGUCACUUUCAAGUCUAAAAUCCCACGAAGAACUGAAGUUGGGCAGGGAAAUUGAAAGUAAAAGUGAGGAAUGGAGAAGUUUCUGUGCCACAUUUGACGUGAAACUGAAAGUGAUCAUGUAUGUGUCCCUCCUGCUCCCAUAUGAUCUGGCACAGCGCCAUUCAGUUUUACAGAAGCUGAAGCUCAGUGCAGUAGCCUGGCUUGCCAGAAUGCACUCUUUCUUAACGGCUCACAUUUCCAUCCACAGCCCAGGUCUCUGCCCUCCCAGUUCAAUCCCUCACCCCAGUCCGUUAUUUUUAAGGCAUAUAAAGGAAACCAGAGACAGAAUCAAGUCAAAGCUGUUUUAUUAUCAUUCACAUUAUUUCAUAGAAAAAGGAAUAUAGCAAACGGUCACGGUCAGGGUUGUACAUAAAAAAUCCAGGUUUGUGG